CGCGUAGGCGGACUUUCAAGUCAGGGGUGAAAUCCCGAGGCUUAACCUCGGAACUGCCUUUGAUACUGUAAGUCUUGAGUCCGAGAGAGGUGAGUGGAAUUCCUAGUGUAGAGGUGAAAUUCGUAGAUAUUAGGAAGAACACCAGUGGCGAAGGCGGCUCACUGGCUCGGUACUGACGCUGAGGCGCGAAAGCGUGGGGAGCAAACA
RNAcentral lists this ribosomal RNA (207 nucleotides) under uncultured bacterium. Its description in RNAcentral is "partial 16S ribosomal RNA". It matches the Rfam family "Bacterial small subunit ribosomal RNA", at positions 568 to 774 of the family's 1533-position model. The record is from RNAcentral.